ACAGCCACUGAACAAAUACUUGAAGUGGAGCAAUGUGAACACAGACAAGACUAUUACAACAUCAAGGAGUCAUCAUUUUGAUUGGGCAUGAUAAUCGUACUGUGAUCUGACAACCUGAAUCAAACGCAUUCUGUACCUGAGAGAGAUUAUGGCCAAUUACAGAAGGGAGCGGCAAAGAGGGGAAGAGUCUUCAAAUUCCUUUGGAGAACUGGUUCACCAAAUUAGUAAAUUCUGGUAUUUCACAACUGCAUACAUGCACAUUAUGCAUUCUGCUCAGAUUAACAGUAAAUAAUUUAUAAUUAUCUCAGACAUUGACAAAUGUCCAUUGUUUGCGUUGGGAAAGAGAGCAGCACUAUGAUCAUCUAGGAGGUAGAGGCCAGAAGGACUGAUUACAAGAACUACUUCUGCAGUGUACAAGGCAGACUACACAGAACAACUGCUCCCCAAAUGGUGUUGGCGCCUAGACUGAGAACCUAUGGCUUAGAAGGUCUGAGAUAACUGGAGUGAAUCCAUGUUCAAGAAGCCUUCACCAGAACUGGUAAAGAGACUCAAUGAGGUAUUAAGAAAGGAAAAAUAGAAGUCAGAGGAGUGAAGAGAGAUUACAGAUCAAGGCAUAUUAAAAAUUACAGCAAGAUUAAGAACUAGUGAAGAAAAUAAACAUCUAUAAGUCUUGACCAGCCUUGAAUCCCAGAGAACAUUGGACAAAACCAAAACUAGAGUGAAUGUGGAUAUAUAAGGUAGAGUAAACAGCUACGUUUAGAAACUACCACCUUUUAAAAAUAGAAUGUUAGAGGCCAAAGAGAUGGCUCAGCAGAUAAAGGUGUUUUAAAAUGCAA
Long non-coding RNA from Peromyscus eremicus (cactus mouse), 836 nucleotides. RefSeq lists it as uncharacterized. The record is from RefSeq and is a predicted model, not a curated record. The transcript has 3 exons. Lineage: Eukaryota; Metazoa; Chordata; Mammalia; Rodentia; Cricetidae.